UACGGAGGGUGCUAGCGUUGUUCGGAAUUACUGGGCGUAAAGCGCACGUAGGCUGUCUAGUAAGUUGGAAGUGAAAUCCCAAGGCUCAACCUUGGAAUUGCUUUCAAAACUGCUAGACUAGAGAAUGGUAGGGGAAAGUGGAAUUCCUAGUGUAGAGGUGAAAUUCGUAGAUAUUAGGAGGAACACCAGAGGCGAAGGCGACUUUCUGGGCCAUUUCUGACGCUAAGGUGCGAAAGCGUGGGGAGCAAACAGG
This 253-nucleotide ribosomal RNA is filed under the name uncultured bacterium. RNAcentral's name for it is "partial 16S ribosomal RNA". It matches the Rfam family "Bacterial small subunit ribosomal RNA", at positions 524 to 776 of the family's 1533-position model. The record is from RNAcentral.